Molecule: unclassified non-coding RNA, 252 nt
Filed under: uncultured Acidobacteriota bacterium
Lineage: Bacteria; Pseudomonadati; Acidobacteriota
Description: uncultured Acidobacteria bacterium contains 16S-23S intergenic spacer region
Rfam family: Bacterial small subunit ribosomal RNA
Source: RNAcentral
UACGGGGGGGCAAGCGUUGUUCGGAAUUACUGGGCGUAAAGGGCUCGUAGGCGGCCAACUAAGUCAGAUGCGAAAUCCCCAGGCUCAACCUGGGAACUGCAUCUGAUACUGGUUGGCUUGAAUUCGGGAGAGGGAUGCAGAAUUCCAGGUGUAGCGGUGAAAUGCGUAGAUAUCUGGAGGAAUACCGGUGGCGAAGGCGGCAUCCUGGACCGACAUUGACGCUGAGGAGCGAAAGCUAGGGGAGCAAACGGG